RNAcentral lists this ribosomal RNA (253 nucleotides) under uncultured bacterium. RNAcentral's name for it is "partial 16S ribosomal RNA". It matches the Rfam family "Bacterial small subunit ribosomal RNA", at positions 524 to 776 of the family's 1533-position model. The record is from RNAcentral.
GACGGAGGGUGCAAACGUUGUUCGGAAUCACUGGGCAUAAAGAGCACGUAGGCUGCGCGCUAAGUCAGGUGUGAAAUCCCCCGGCUCAACCGGGGAACUGCACCUGAUACUGGCGUGCUCGAGGACGGUAGGGGUGAGUGGAACUCCAGGUGGAGCGGUGAAAUGCGUAGAUAUCUGGAGGAACACCGGUGGCGAAGGCGGCGUUCUGGACUGUUUCUGACACUGAAAAACGAAAGCCAGGGGAGCAAACGGG